This 562-nucleotide ribosomal RNA is filed under the name uncultured bacterium. Its description in RNAcentral is "partial 16S ribosomal RNA". It matches the Rfam family "Bacterial small subunit ribosomal RNA", at positions 355 to 907 of the family's 1533-position model. The record is from RNAcentral.
UGGGGAAUAUUGCACAAUGGGCGCAAGCCUGAUGCAGCCAUGCCGCGUGUGUGAAGAAGGCCUUCGGGUUGUAAAGCACUUUCAGCGAGGAGGAAGGUGGUGAACUUAAUGCGUUCAUCAAUUGACGUUACUCGCAGAAGAAGCACCGGCUAACUCCGUGCCAGCAGCCGCGGUAAUACGGAGGGUGCAAGCGUUAAUCGGAAUUACUGGGCGUAAAGCGCACGCAGGCGGUUUGUUAAGUCAGAUGUGAAAUCCCCGGGCUCAACCUGGGAACUGCAUUUGAAACUGGCAAGCUAGAGUCUCGUAGAGGGGGGUAGAAUUCCAGGUGUAGCGGUGAAAUGCGUAGAGAUCUGGAGGAAUACCGGUGGCGAAGGCGGCCCCCCUGGACGAAGACUGACGCUCAGGUGCGAAAGCGUGGGGCAGCAAACAGGAUUAGAUACCCUGGUAGUCCACGCUGUAAACGAUGUCGAUUUGGAGGUUGUGCCCUUGAGGCGUGGCUUCCGGAGCUAACGCGUUAAAUCGACCGCCUGGGGAGUACGGCCGCAAGGUUAAAACUUAAAUG